UAGGUGGUAGCUCAGUUGGAAGAGUGCUUGCCUAGCAUGUUGGAGACUCUGGGUUUGAUCCUCAGCAGCCUAC
RNAcentral lists this transfer RNA (73 nucleotides) under Mesocricetus auratus (golden hamster). It matches the Rfam family "tRNA". Rfam says of the family: Transfer RNA (tRNA) molecules are approximately 80 nucleotides in length. Their secondary structure includes four short double-helical elements and three loops (D, anti-codon, and T loops). The record is from Rfam by way of RNAcentral. Lineage: Eukaryota; Metazoa; Chordata; Mammalia; Rodentia; Cricetidae.